GAAUGAGUGACUAUUAACCAACCAACCCAGUCAUUUCAUUUCGCCUUCACUCUCUACCCGUUACAGUUUUUCUAACUUUCUUUCUUUAGAUUGAGUAACUUCAAUAAUGCAAUGCAACUAAAGAUUAUUACUUACAACUUCUAUGCUCAAAUAAUUGUUGCAAUGCAAUUAAACACUCACUCAUGCGUGUCCCCGUGAGCCUAAUCCAGUUUGUAGAGACAUUGCAUUAUAUAUAUAGAGGUUGGGGUUCAAACUCAAACACUCUACUUAUUCACCUUAAAAAAAAUGAAUUUAAGUCAAUUGGCUACCUGACUAAAAAAAAACGCACUCAUAUGUUUUAUUUCAUAAGCUGGUUUUAGACCUUUUUAUCUGAAAAACUUAUCUCACAUUGUAGUUGAUAUGUAUGGUUAGACCUUUUGUGAGGUUUGUGUGUCCCCUAGUCUAUCACUCUCUCACAGUUAAACUACUUUGUUUUUGAGAGGUUUGUAUACCUUACUUAAAAACAACUAUCAUUCUCUCAUCAAUUUCAUCAUUAAGCUAUUAAAAUUAACUAAAAAGUACCUAAACUAUUCUCACAUAUAACUAUUAGCCCCUUGGUUGACAAAGUUAAUUUUUUUUAUGAUGGUUUAUGGACUAAAUUGAUAUAUUUUUUAUAGUUUAAAGAUCUUCUAGUUGAUUUUAAUAACUCGAAGGCUAUAUAUGUGAAAAAAUUGAUAGUUUAAGGAACAAGUUGAUUGUUUAUUCUUAAUUUGAUUGAAGUCUACUGGCACACAAAUUUACAAGGAUACGGUGGAUAUGGGGAAGUUAUACCUGAUAUCCCUACAUUUAAUCUUUUACCCCCUACAAAUUGUUGAAAAUGCCAAAUUUACCUUUUAUCAUUUCACUUCACCCUGCAUAAAAUUUUAGCCAACAAUACACUUCCGAGAUUUAAUACUCCAAUUUUCGGAAUAUUCAUAUCAAAUUUUUAUGGUAGAUUAAUUUGUAAACCGGAACAAUUGAGUAAAGAAUUAUUAUCAGAAUUCUUUCUUCUUUCAUCGAGGUUUGAGAGACAAUGAAAGAUGGAAAAUAGAAUACAACAACCUGUAUUAGUUAAUAUAAAAUUAAGUGCAAAGCAAAGAUCAUGAUACCAAACCUCAUCAAUUCUUCUUCCAAUUCAUUUUAUUUAGAUCUAAAAAAAUGAAAGGCCGUAUAUUUCUGGAGUAGAAUUUUAGAUGUAAGGUUGGGAAAUCAAAAAACCUGGCUAAAACUGCAGAAACCUGUUUUCUGAAUUCUUUCUAAAAAAACAGUGUAAAAAAAUGCUUGUCUCUUUAUCUGUAGAUCUAAAAAAAAAUCAUUUCUAAUUCAUCUUGUUUGGAAAUAUGAAUACGAAAAGUUGUAUAUUUUAAUUUUUUUUAUUUUUACAAAAUACCGUUGUUGGGAAUGUGAAUAAUCUAAGAUUAAAUGUAGGGGUGGUAAAAGAUUAAAUGUAGGGGUAUAUGGUAUAAUAUCCUGGAUAUGGUAGGCUUAUAUUACUUAGAACCCAAAUCAUGUUACUUAGGCCCGUCAUCAUGGACUUUUUUCAUGUGGUUUCCAUGCAGGCUAGUUGAAUAUUGCUCUUUAGGCAUCCAUGUUUUGCUCUCAGACAUUUUGAAAUUAUUAUUUUACCUCAAUGAAAAUUAAUUACCAUUUGUUGAUGAACGAUGGUUAGUUUUCAUUCUCUUAUGAACAGUAGUUAAUUGUCGUUCUAGGGCAUUUUAUGUGGUUCAGAUUGCGCAGACAGUUUUUGUGGUCCACGAUACAUAAAAACUUCUAUAAAUUGGUGUGUUUGGUUCAUUUGAAACCACACCACAAAAUCAUGAAUAUUUAUCUAGUAGAUCCGAACACCAAAUUAGCGCAGUUAACUACAACGGGGAAAACUCAAUAUGUUUAGGGUUCAGGUUAAUGCUAUAUCGGUUGACUUGAAGGAACAUAGUUGGACCAAAUUAACAGUCGACUCAACCACAAAGACACAAGAAAGGUGGAAAGUGUUGAGUAUCGUCAUCCAUUCGUUUGACUCAUAUGAAAGCGUCAAGUUCACCCAUAUGAAGUUCAAGAACAACGACAUCGUGAGAACCAUCAAGUUAGACGCUUCAUUGGUCAAAUAUUUUUUAGAUGUUCCGGAAAGUUUGAUUCAGAUUAGGACCUUCAAAGAAAACAGGACUUGCAUGGAUAGACCAAAAGAAAUAAGUAUGUCUUAUUCGUGAUUUUGUAUGUGUUUUAUUAUGUUGUUAAAUUAUGUUAGUGUAUUGUGUUUUAUUAUGUUUAAUGUAUGUUUUUGUUAACUUAUGUCAUUGAAAUUAUGUUAAUGUAUUGUAUUUUAUUAUGUUUAAUGUAUGUUCUUCUGAGCUUUCCUUUGUAACUAAUGAUUAACUACAGUUUCUUCUGAAAACAACAAUUAACUAUUGUUCCUAGAAUGGGAGUUAACUCUUGUUUAACAACGAAAAAUAAUUAAUUAUUAUUUCGGAUAAAAUAGUCAAUUUGAGACGUGUUAAAACAAAGUAUGAGUGUCUAACGAACAAUUUUCAAGAUAGUUUAGUCCUUUUUGGGUUCUACCUUUUUUUUUUAUGAGUAACUUCUACACCUAGUUUCCAUUCUUUUUUGUGUUAAUUGUCCGAUUUCUUAGCAUGUGCGUAACUCACGCAGCGUGACUUAAGUCACACAUGUGUAAAAACUAAGUCAUGUAUUUUUUACACUUGCGCUAAUUAACUAACGCAAGGGUAUUUUCGGCAACACUGCAGGGCGCGAGUGUUUUGUGUUGGGUGAAGAGCAGAAUUCUAAAGUCAUAUAUAUAUAUUAUGGUUUUAAAAGGGUAAUUGCUAAAUCAGAUUCAUAGGAAGCAACUAAGUUAAUAUUGAAAGGGCAUGGUAAAGGGCACCCUUGUUCUCAUAUCAUUUCUCAUAUUUCUAAUUUUCUUGUCUAAUUCAUGAGUUACAAGUUUCAACGUGUCUAACGUGAAGCCAACAAAGUCGUGAAUGCUUUUGCAAGGAAUAUCCAACUUCAAAGUAUUAGCGCAGCUUUAACUUGAUGAACAAACUUAGAGUUUUCUAGGGUUUUAAUUUGAUUUUGUUGAAAUAGAGAGAGAAUGAGAAGAAUGGGUGAAUGAGGAGACAAGAAGUAUUAAAGUUGUGAUUUCAUUUAUAUGUAAAAAUACACAUGAAAGUAGCUUAUAUACAUGGUUUUUUGCUAGGUUACUUGAAGUACAAGUCAUAUAACAAACCCUAAAUACCUUAAGCUAAAAUCUAGUAAAUUUGUAACAAACUAUUAACAAACUAAACUAACUAGAUUUCUAAUGUGAUUAACCAAACAAGCUUGAUUAGAUCACUAACAAACUUGAAUUAUCAACUAACACAAAGUUGCGAUAAUAUAAAAAUAAUAUCAGAACUAGUCUCUCUUCAAAUGAAUGAUGCAUCACAACUUAUCUUUCUCCUUUGAUGGAAAAAUUUGUUCUAAUACCAAUUAUUGAAGGAAAAAAAUCAAUAAAAAAUCUUUAAACAAGCGGGAACACAACCACAAAAUAAGUAAAAGAGAUAAAAACAAAUCACAAGCCUAUUUUUCGAUACUUCACAGUUCACACCUUCAUUCAUAAUAUCUUAACAAAAUAUUUGUUACAAAAAUAUGCAUAGUUUUACUAGGAAUUGCAAACCCUCUUGUACAAUUAUAAUUUUUGCACAGAAAUAUUGCAAACUAAUCUUUCUCAAUUACAAUUUUUGUAAGAAAAACUACAAACUCUUUCAUGACACACAACUACCCAACCUCUUUUUUUUUUUUUUUUUUUUUCAUUACUCGAUGUGCGAUGUGAAAGAAUAUCAAUUUUAGAGAACAAAUGGCUAUAAUUUAUAGGUGGCCUUUAUGAUUUUUGGCACAAAUUUUCAUACUGUGAAAUGUGAAUAGAUGCAUGUGCAGAGAUGGAGUUCAUAAUUUAAAUCUUACGUUAAAAAUAAAACAAGUUUUUAAUGUUAUAGUUUAAAAAUAAAAAAUUGUUUCUUAUAUACAAUAUUUUUAUGAAUAUUUACAUAGUUCUUAAAAAAAUUAAUAAUGAAUGGUAUAUUCGUGUCCUGUAUGACACAAUGAAACAUAUGCACAUGAUUAAAUUAUACAUUAAGCCUAAUCAUAUGAUCUGAAAAGAUUUUCUCUACAUUUCGUCGAGCUAGCAAGGUAGAUAGAUGUCAACUAAUAAGUUGAUGAAAUCGGCUAAAAAAGAUUCCCAGUUGAAGUUUAUUAUUUUUUUGGUGCAACCCAGUUGAAGAUUUUAUUAACUUUGAUGAUGGCUCUGAACUACCAAGUUUUCUAGAACUUGAACAAGUCCUUAAUUUUAGUUGAAUUGCAAUACUAUGUCUAUAUGUAUAGUAUACCGUUUCUGGUUUCAUAGUCUGUUAAUUUUAAGGAAUUUUUUCAAGUGGCUCAAAAAAAACAUAUACAGUACAUUCUUUAGUUUUAUUUACAUCGUUUUCAAUCUCUUUCGCUUUUUUAAAUAUUUACGCAGAAAACAUUUUUUUUUUUUUUUCAAUCAGAAAGAGGCAAAAUUAAGAUUUGCAUUGGUUUUAGUCAUCACCUACUACAUUAAAUUACUAUUUGUGGAAAAUAUUGUUUAUAGCGUGAAACUGUGCUCUGACUGGCUCACAUGCAAACGGACAGUGGCAAUAUUGUUUAAGGAAGUAUUAAUCUUUUUUUUUUUUUUUUUUUUGACAGAAACCAUAUAGUAUUAAUCUAUUAUUACUACUAUAUAUGCAUAAAAAAGGACCAAUUAACCGACAUGCUUUGAGUUAUUUUGUGUUUUUUUUUUUUAUUGUUUCUGAAAAAAUCAACCAACAUGCUUCUUUUUUUGCGCUAACUAAAACUAAUUUAUUUAUGCUACUAAUCAAUUUAUUAAGACUAAAACUUGAGUACAAGUUAGUCUUUUUUUUUGUAGUUGGUGACCUACAAGUGGUACUCUUGUACUCAUUAUACUCAAAGUCAAGGGUACAUGCGUAUGUGUUAUGCUGAAUUCGAAAAUUCAUAGUCAAGACCCAGCAAUAUCAAGAUAUAUACACACAUGUCCUAAAGUGCAUUCUGGAGAAUAAGAACUACAAGUCUAAAGUUUUUCUUUUUGUUAGUAAAGUUAUUUUAGUCCAAGUUUAGACUAUACAACGCUGACUAUGAAAUAUGAAAGGAAAAAAAAACCUUCAAUUUUUGUCAAAAAAAUAAAUUCCAUUGUCUCUAACUAAUUAUUGAAAUUUUAAACAUGUGUUUGGUCUAACGGUAUGGUAGAAAAAAUCACGGCAAAAAUUCACGGUAACUACAAAAUCUAAAAAUUUGUAAUUUCUUUGAAAUUUGAGUUUGUAACUUCGAACGUCAAAUAAUCGUUCAUUAAGUCUCUAAAGCUCACAUGAUCAGACCAGCUUUGAUUGCAAAAUAUGACCAACUAAUUACUAAUAAACAUUUAAUUUUGUUAGCAGAUCAAUUUAUCUGUUUAAUGUUAAAAUAAAUCUGAUCCAAUUCAAUACUUUUGGACAUAGAUUGAAAUGGUUUCCCCCCCCCCCCCCCCCCCUUUUUUUUUUUUUUUUUUGUAAACUAGGUAUCCUCCGCGCGCAACUGCGGAGACUAAUCCCUCGAGCAUUGUGAGACCCAAAUGGACGGCAGACUCUCCCUAAGAGUUUUAACGCUGCUGGAGGUAUUGUAAAUAAUAUUUUGUGUUAUAUUAUUUUUAAGAGUGUAUAUUUCUAUAUAAAAAGAGUGAGUUUUGCCUUCAACCUCGAGGUAAUCGGUUUGAGACCUAGGCACUGAGAACAUGAGUUUUUUCGAUUAGCUCUUUAAAAAAUUAUUUAUAGGAGGAAUAAUUGUUUUUAUGGAAUUUGUCGUGUAAUAAAAAUCUAAAUCGUCUAGUCUACAAUUUUGUAUAGUCUUCAAUUAUGUUGUGAAUUCGGGCUUUGAAACUUCACACCAAUCCAAACUAUGAUGUGUGGAGAAAGUAUCAAUGGCAACCAACAACCAAAUUAACCAUAAGCAAUAACAAUAAUAUAUACCAAGUCUAUAAACCAAGUGCAUAGCAAAAUCACAAUCCAACCAAAUAAUAAACAAGAUAAAAGAGUAAAGAAAAAUAGACAACAACACCAAGAGAUUGUUCACCCAGUUCGGUCCAACCAUGACCUACUCUGGAGGAGAGAUUGAUCUCUUCAAUCCACUAUCAAUGAGUUCUUACAAAGAGAUACAAAUGAGUUACAAGAAAUUAGCUUCAACAAGCUCACAAAAAACAACCCUAAUUUCUACCAAUUUUCCCAAUCUCACCAAUGAACAAGACACUCAUGAUUUUUACUCUCCCAAGGUGUUUACAAUUGUUUCACAACUCUAGAAUCUAACCCCCAAAAGAGAACCAACUCUUAGCCUUUGAUUUCACUUAGGAUCUUCUCUUUUGGUUUCACAAGACUCACCCAAGUUGCUCGCAAAUGACUCUCCACUCAUGUGUUUCCCAACCCCAUGAAUCUUCUCCAAAAGGCACCAACCCUUUUCACAAGAGCCCCCUCUUUUGGUUCUCCAAGAUUCACAUCUUGAAGCUUUGAACCUCACCCAAAGACCCUCAACCUUUAGUAUCUAAAACCCUAAAAGUUUCAUCCUUUGGUUGUUAUGGGAUUCACCAAGCUUACCCAACAAAUGGAUCAGGGAGUGUUUAAAACAUGUUUCAGAUCUGUCAAAAUCGUGUCACAUUUUGCCUUCAGAACCAAACAUGCAUUCGGCAUCAGAAAUCGUGACACGGUUGCCAAAUCGUGUCAUGAUUCUUCACUUUCAUAAAGACUUAAUUUUGAGUCAUAUAUAUACCAACAAAUUCAAAUUAUAUAAAUGGACGGUAUAUUCUUUAGUAAAAGUAUUAUUUCACAAUUUAAUACGUAUUAUUAAAAGAAAUUAGAAACAAUUAUCAAAAAAUUAUGAUAGAUAAUAUAUUAAACUCGUCUAGUGUGUGUGUAUUUUUGAAGGAUAGUGUGUGUGUGUAUUAACAUCAUUCUCUAAUUAUUUUUGUAGGGAAACAAUGUUGGUUAAAUUGAUGUGUACUUUUUUUUGUAAAAAAUAAUCGACGUAUUUUUAAAUGAGAUUUACAUGUAGAGAGAGACAGCGGUAGACAUAGUAGUAGAACAAUUAAAAUUUAAAAGACCACUUUACAAAUUGCACCAAGUGGUCCUCUAAAAAAGAUCACCGACAGUUGCUUCACUUUACCUUCAUAUAUUUUAGAGCAAUGAUAUUUGAACAAUUAUUUAGUACAACAUUUUUUGACAAUCUUCUUUUUCUCUCUUUUUAUUGGUCAAAAAUAAUGAAGAGAAAAAAGAAGAGAUAGAGUAAAAAUAUAAUAUGAAUAUGAGAAAAAAAAUUGUCUAAAAAUUAUCACAAAAUGGUUGUACAAAUAUUAUUUCUCCAUAUUUUAGACACAGGCUAAUCAUUAAUUAAUUUGUGUAAAAAAAAACAAUAAUAUUAUUUUGACAACAUUAUUCAACACCUUAUCUUUCUUUCAAAAAACAUUAUUCAACACCUUAUGUUCAUAUUAUCAUUUGAUUUUCUUAAUUAUGUUUUACAUCAGUCACAUCAAGUGACAUUUUACACGCUUAUCAAUUUUUUUUGUCAAGUAGCCUAGUGUUUAGAACUCAUAUAAUUUAAUUGUGAAGAAAUGAAGUGUCAGAGAUUCGAACUCCAACCCCUGCAUAUAAUAUGCAAUAUCCCUACCAACUGAACUAAGCUCACGAAGAUCGCGGUUAUCAAUUUUUGUAGUUCAAAUAACAUCACUAAAAAAAGCUACGAGGCAGACGCACAAAUUUUCAUUGAGCAGUUGUGUUAAUUAAUUUUAUAACGCAAGGAAAAUGGUGAAGUUUUUGUGAAUAGAGAAAUGAUAUAUAUACAAUCAUUUUCAAACAACUUUUGUAAUAACUUUAUCUCUCAUUUUUAUAUUUUAUUUUUAUUUUUUUCUCUAUUAUUUUGGUUUUCGUUUAUGAUUUUUUGUAAGAAAAUGAUUGUCUAUGUAGUUAUCAAUCACAUUGAUGUUCAAAUAACAUUGCUUUUGUGAAUAAUGCAAAAUAGUUUCUCGGAACAAUCAAUUAUUCAAUUGAUAUUUACGAAAUUAGUUUUUGUAGGGUGUCCCUAUAAAUCACAUAUACUUUAAAACAGUCAUAUGUAUUCACGAUUCGAGAUCUUAUAAAAAAACCAUUCCAGAUCAUGUAUGAAAAUGAAAUAUAUAUUUUUUUUGACUGGUGUAUGAAAAUGAAAUAUUUUCAAAAAUAAAAUAUACUCUCUGCCCAUAUAAUGUCAGCGUAGGUGUCGGUGUUUUUCUACCGACUAUAAGAAAAACUGUAAAAUAAAUAAAACAAUAUAGUAAUUUAAAUUAGUGAUUGUAAAUUAUUGUCUUAAAUGUAUAGUUCAAUAUAAUAGAUUAAAAAUGAUGAAAAAAAUAUUAAUUUAAGAGUAGAAUUGAAAUAACAUAUAUGUUUUCGAUAGUUUAACUAAAUUGAUAAAGACAUUGCAUAAUAAUAUACAAGUGUUUUGAAAUUCCAUUUAUUCAUUACAUGUGAAUUUUUAGAUAUUAAACUAUUUGGAAAAUAAAAUAAAAUAUCAAAUAAUUAAGGUUUAAAUAUGUAAGUAGUCCCUGUAAUUUCGCGUAUUUUUGUUUUCGUUCCUGUAAGUUAUUUUGUUCUAAAACAAACUCUGUAUUUUGCUAACCUUUUGGAAAAGGUCCUUGCCGUCAGCUUCCGUCAACAAAAACGCCAUGGUGGCUAACGGAGCACACGUGGCAGUUCAUGAGUUGGCAAAGUUGAUGAGAUGGAAUGAGAGAUGAUAAGUUGUUAAAAUACAGGGACUAAAAUCAAAAACGUAAAUUGACACAGGGAUGAAAUUAAAAAAACGUUUAAUCUUCUUUUUCCUCUCAAAUUUCAGUCUUCUUCUUCCUCUCAAACUUUCCCCAAUCUAUCCCAUACCUUGCGCCCUUGAACCAAAACUCAUAUCCUUCAACAAUUUAUUCUAAUUCCAUUACUCAAUCAUAUUGUGUGUUUUGAUUGUAAUGUUAAGUUGAAACAUUGUAUGCUACUUAAGUUUGAUUAAUUUAGUGAUGGUUGUUGCGAUUGAUUGCAAAUUCAUUCAUAAAGUUUGUAGAUAAUAAAGGCAAGAAUACAUCUUUUUCAUCCCUCUUUUUUUUCCACAAUUCCCUCUUAUUCUUCCAGAUUGCUACAAUUACCAUACAUAAAUAGUCAGAUCCCCUUUCAUCUUUUCUCACUCACAUUCAAAUUCAAACUCUAAUUUCUCAAAUUUUUGCUUUUGAAUUGUGUAAUUUUGUGUUUUUAUGUAAUUGGUGUAGAGAGUUUAUGUUGUUUUAAUGUGUUGAUUAAGAGUGGGUCUUGUUGUUGUUGAUUGAUGAUUAUUAGUUUUGUUUAAAAAAAUAUAUAUGUUUGUUGUUUUCUUUCUUUUCCUGGGUUUGGUGUUGAUGAUUUAUGAAUAUGGUGAUGAAGAUGAAGAAGACAAUGAAGGAAGAAGAAGAAUAAGAUCUUGAUUUUAAAUUUGAAAUUUUGAUUUUACGUUUUUUAUUUUAGUCCCUGUGGUAAUUUACGCUUUUGAUUUUAGUCCCUGACUUUACACAACUAAUCAUCUCUCAUGCCAUCUCAUCAAAUGUGCCAAGUCAUGACCUGCCACCUGUGCUCCGUUAGCCACAAUGGCGUUUUUGUUGACAGAAGCUGAUGGUAAGGACCAUUUUCAAAAGGUCAAAAAGAUACAAGGUUUAUUUUAUAUAAAAAAAAAAACUUACAAGGACGAAAACAAAAAAUACGCGAACUUAGAGGAACCUUUUACAUAUUUAAGCCAAUAACUAAUAGCACUUAUUUUGGUACAUUUCUCUUUUGCAAAUGUGAAACUUAAUAUUGGAUGGGGUCAAUAAUUUUGAGAAUGAAUAAACCCAUUAUUUAGUCUUUUAAUUUUUUUUUUCCAUCCAUCAGGUUUCUAAACUAUUUACAAACACUAAAUGUCCUUAAGACAUAGCUCAAGUAACAAUAUUGAUAUUGAGAAGUUGGAUAUUUUCAUCCGAGUUUGAACUCGAAUUCUUGCAAUUACGAGUGUGAAUUUCAGGUAAUUUAUAUCAAUUUAUCUGUAAACAAAAGGAGAUAUAUACGCGUAACAAAUAGGUCUAAUGCAAAUUAACAACUUAUUUUUAGUUUAUAAAAUAUAUGAAAUUUAAUCCUUUAGUCCCUAGUAUAUUUUAACAAUGGGCACUAAAGCAACAUAUAUUUCAUAUAUUUUAAAUACUACUACAUCUUUCCUUAUGUAUAAGCUCAUUUGACAUUUUCACAUAUAUUAAAAAAGUUAGUAGUGUCUUGACAAAAAAGAAGCUCCUUAGAGUUUCCUUAUGUAUAUUUUUUUAAACCGAAAAAAUUGUGUACAAAAAAUGACUAUUAUUACUAAAAAAAAUCUUUUGCAUAUAGAUGUGUUCAACAUUUAUUUUGCAAUUCUCAAGACAAAUCAGUGGUACAUCUUAAUAAGUGAUAUAUUUGUUAGGAAAAAAAAUUACUAUAUGUAUCUAGUUAUUUGCAAGACUAAUGAUUCUUAGCAAAUAUGCUUAUAUUGAGAGAACUUUUUUCUAAAGAGAGCUUAUAAUUAGAGACUAAGAUUUUGCCAAAAAAUAAAGAAAAAUUAGAGAAUAAGGUUUAUACUAUACUUUAGAAACUAAUUUGAUGAGAUACGACUAAAUCGAAGAUAUAUUUUUUUAGAAUAGUGUUAGAACCUUAGAAAUUAUAAUCAAUAGAAAUAGAAAUGUUCCUUACAGAUCCAUAAUAGUGACAAUCUUGUCUUUUCUUUUGAGGAAAUAAUAAUAAAGGUGGUGCCAACAUUUCAACAAACCUAGCUAUUUUAAUUAUUCUGUUCUCACAGCCUGCACCUUAGAUCAAAUCCAAAUUGGGUCAUCACCGUUCCAAAAUGCUUAGGGACGUUACUCUAAAUGUCAAUAUGAAUGAGUAAUUCAAAUAGUUAACAUAGCCCGCCAGCCUUAUAUAAUAAUAUCAAUAUAUGUCGACUAAUUAUCGAGAUGCUAAAUUGGAGUACACUUCACAAACAAAAAUCUUUCAUAAGGCGUUUUUUCUCUUAAUACAUUUUUUCUUUUCUUAUGCUAGUAACAUUUACUCUGUAUUGGCCUUCCUAAGAAGAAGUUGGAUAGUAGCAAUGUGUUCGUGAGACUGCUGAUAUCUUAAAAGAAUGUUCUCAUAGAUUCCACUUUUUUAGUAAGCUUUUAUGUGUAUGAGUUUGCAAAUUUAACCCUUUUUAAUUCGGAUAGAUUUAUAAGUCACACCUUCAAGUACAAUCGACAAAAUUUCAGUAAUAAUUACGGUUUAGGGUUUAUGGGUCUAGAUCUACUAAAAAUGAGUGGGUGUAUAAAUUAGUAUAUCCUAGAGUUUAUUAUCUUACGUUCGAUCUUCUUUGCAGAAACUCGUGCAUGUUCGUGAUAUAUAUUUUCGCGAGAAGUACAUUUCCCUAAAACAAAAUCAACCACUGACAUAAACACGUCAAAUGUAAGCCGGUAAAUCCAAGCUUUACUAACACGAGUUAUAUUAUAUCAUUGGCAUCAGCUACUUAAGAACUACUGUAGAAAAUUUACAGCAAGUCAUCGAGGCUUAAUAAAAUGUGUUGAUAUAGUUACAAAGAUAAAUUAAAUAGCAGAGCAUACAUGAAGAGAACAAAUGUAGAGCAACCCCUUAAACAAACCCUCUCAGUAAGGUAUCUUCACAUUACUCUAAGUUCAUAAAAGAUGACUUUAAAAACGAUUAUUUCAAAAUGCAAGUAUUCUCCGACCCCUUUUUCCCGGAUCUAGAUCUAAUAGUGUAAGGAUAUAUAUAAAUCAUUGUCACAUUUUACAACUCAAGAGUUUACCUCAACUCGUUUUGUUUAGGUAAAUUCGACUCGAGAACUCGUAUGACUUUACCUAAAAUUAAAAUUAUAUAAAAUUUAUUAUAUAUGCAUGACAUAUGUAAGUUAAUAUAAUAUUGUAAAUAGGUCAAUAGUGCAAAAUAUGACUUAAUUACAAAGACAAAUUAUACCAUAAUAAAAUGUUAUGCUCAACUUAGCUUCAAAAUACAAAAAUUAACGCACAAAAUCAUAAGUCUCUAAGUUUAAGCCAUCCAUAAAACCAUCCAAAAAAAGAAAGUUUCACAAGUUCCUAAAGUUAUUAAUAAAACUAUCUAAAAAAUAAAGUAGUUAAUUUCUUCAAAACGUCAACAAACACCACCACAACAACCCUAACCAGUGUCACAAUCACCGGCGUUGAAAUAUGAAUUUCCACCGUCUGAAUCACAACCCUAAAUGGUAUGUGCUCCCCUGUUCAUGGUUUGAGAACUUAGAAAAGAAAAAGGGCAAUCCGGUGCACUAAAGCUCCCACAUACGCAGGGUCCGGGAAGGGGUCCCACCAUUUUUUGUGUAUUGUACGCAACCUUACCCUGUUUUUGAUCACAAAAGAAAAAGAAACGUUUCAUUUUAGGAACAACUUGUCACUGUAAAGGUAACUAUUAAUUAAACGUUUCAGUCUUUGGGGUUGUAGAAAAGGAAUUGGAUUUUGAAAAAAAUGGGCACAUAAAAAGGGCCAAUUUUUAGAUGUAAACUCGUAAAACUCAGUAAACUCGGUCGAGUUUACACGAGUUUACCUAGUGUUAACUCGGUCAAACUCGUUAAACCUUCCAAUUUUACCAGAAACCGAGUUUACCUCCGAAUUAACAUGAUUUUGGCACCUACGUAAACUCGAAGAGUUAACACUCAAUUUGCGGAACAUUGCAUAUAUAUUUAAAGAUAUAUGUAUAAUUAUAGAGAAAGUAGAGAAGGGAUAUACCAUUUUAUGUAGGGUUAUUAUGUAUCAAAUCAUAAAGAGUCGAGAGUUGUAUUAUACCAUAAUAUUCUUCCGUAAACUGGUAGUCAUGAUCAUGACGUAUAUUAUUCAAGUAUAUGCAAAAACAUGUCUGUAUCUAGUCUAAAUUUUUGACCAAAUGCAUGUAUUUGCUUAUAUUUUGUUACUACUUACUACUCGCCAAGUAAUGCUCAAUAUCUAAUAUAUAUAUUUCAAGACCAUCAAAGAUAACUCAGUUGAACAAUACAUAAUAUAUGCAAGGUUCGGGGUAUAUUACAUUUUCAAUUAUUCUAAUAAUAAAUUUAAAUGACACUUAAAUUAUACAACUAUUAAAUAGAUCUUAGUACCGUAAAAUUUAUAUUCGAGACUUGCUAGGGAGAACCAUCAACCUCAACAAAAAUUUCUACUUGAAUCUAACGCAAACAAAAGGUCCAACCAUCUAUGAAUCUCCGUUGAUAUCACAAAUGAUGUUUGAUACAAGAGAGACAUAUUAGAACAUAAUCUAUGUACAAUCUACAUUAAAAUAAAAAACAAGUCUACAGUCAUAUAAAUAACACAAUUUCAAAAUCUCAAAAUUAGGUAUGAAAACAAAAUGAUUAGAAAAAUAAAUGAUUCAAUCAUUCCGAGAUUUGUGCAAAAAAAAAAAAAAAAACAUUUUGAAAAUACAAUGUUAGAAACUUAUGAUCAAUAUAUAUUUUUCCUUACACAUCAAAAAUAAUUAAGCUAUAUUCUUGUCUUUUCAUUUUGGGCAAACUAAAAUUAAAAUCAAGGUAGUGUCAAUGUUUCUAUAGUCCUAGCUAUUUGAUUUUCUUCUAAGCUAACAAGAGUCUUCCAAAAUCAAAUUCGCGCUCAAAAUUAAAGCAACUUGGGUGGUAACCAUUCCAAAAUACUUAGGGCCACAUUGCUCUAAAAGUCAAUAAGAAUAAGUAAUAAUUCAAAGAUAGCCAACCUUAUAGUAUAUUUUAAUAUGAAUGUAUGCAUGUUUCCUAGAAGGUGAGUAAGCUAACUAAUCAAGAUACUUUGUUGGAGUUAAAUAUGGUAAAGAAUCCAACUAUAAAAUGGGGACUUGCCCCAGCAUUCUUUCACAAACCAAAACCAACUUCUAAGAAAAAAAUGAGGUCCCUAAUGGCCUCUGCUUCUCUCACUCUUGCAUUAGCCAUCCUCUUUUUGAGUUUCCCAUCUGAAAUUUCAGCAAACAAAUACGCAUAUUCCUCUCCACCACCACCACAUUACUCAUCUCCUCCACCUCCACCGGUUCACACUUACCCUAAACCAGUCUACCACUCUCCACCACCACCAGUUCACACCUACCCUAAACCAGUUUACCACUCUCCACCACCACCAGUUCACAAGUACCCUCACCCUAAACCAGUAUACCACUCUCCACCACCCCCAGUUCACAAGUACCCUCAUCCACACCCAGUCUACCAUUCUCCACCACCCCCAGUUCACAAGUACCCCCAUCCUCACCCAGUGUACCACUCUCCCCCACCACCACCACCAAAGAAGUCCUACAAAUACCCAUCUCCCCCACCACCACCAGUUCACACCUACCCUAAACCAGUCUACCACUCUCCUCCACCCCCAGUUCAUCACACCUACCCUAAACCAGUCUACCACUCUCCUCCACCCCCAGUUCACACCUACCCUCACCCUAAACCAGUCUACCACUCUCCACCACCCCCAGUUCACACUUACCCUAAACCAGUCUACCACUCCCCACCACCACCAGUUCACACCUACGUCCCUCACCCUAAGCCAGUCUACCACUCUCCACCACCACCAGUUCACACCUAUCCCCCACAUGUUCCCCACCCAGUUUACCAUUCUCCUCCUCCUCCAGUUCAUUCCCCACCUCCACCACACUAUUACUACAAAUCACCUCCUCCACCUUACCACAACUAGAUAGCCCAUAAUUGGCAUCACACCAUAUGGUAACUUUUCAUGCAACAUAUAUAUUAUAACUUUUCAUAUUCUCUCUUUAUUAACUAGUUAUCGGUAUGAUUGUCGAGUAUAUACUAACAAGGCUAAUUUGAAAUGAAACUUCAUGUGCAAUGAAACAUUCUUUUACUGGUUAAUAUUUUAUUCUAUGUUUCAUUGAAAUUAAUAUUUUUCUAAUAGUAUUUGGUUAUUAAGGGAUUAGAGUAUAUCAGACAUAAACUGACAGAUCAAUAUAUUUGCAUUUGUGUAGGAUCUAAACAGAAAGUGUGAAAGCAAAGAAAGCCAUGCACAAAGAAGAUCAAGGGGAUUCUUCACAUAUAUUUCGUCAGCAUUUGAUUAAGAUUGUUUAGAGGGCUCCGUUUAUUUGUAUUUAAUUUGUGUUUUUGUUGUAUUAUCCACAGCUGUAAGGCACUGCCCCAAUAUGCAUGUGUCUGCAGUUGUUUUCAUGCAUUGUAAUUUUCAAAGUUCGGCUUUGUAUCAAGCUGACUCACAAACUAAAUAAAUAUAUAUCCCCUAUUAUAGUAAUCUGUCCCUUUCAUCUAUGACUCCUUUUAUAUUACUAUUCUUGUGAUAAAAAUAAUCUGUGUUUAUUUGUUUCUACUAAUUAUUUUUGGUUUACCUUUCUCCGUACAAAUAAAAUUUAGUUUAAAAGUGAAUUUGACAGCACUUUUAAGAGAAACCUAAAAGAAAUAGAAGAAUAAUGCUUCUCAAAAGAUUAAAAAAAGACCACUAUAUUAUAUAUAUGUGAACCAAGGAUCAUGUCUCAAUGUGUGUGUUUUUUCUUUUAACGAGAAAGAUCUAUAAUUAUAAUGUAAACAAGAGUACAAUGAGUACUACAACUCACUACAAAAAGAGGUGCAACACUUCAAACGAAAAAAAUAGCACACACCAUAAGCAAUACAAAAGCAUUAGUCUACAAAGCCAAUAGGGUGGCAUUUAACAUGGGGCAGUAAAAUUUUAUCCCACCAUGGAAAAGUGGAUCCAUUAUGGGCAGGUGGCAGUUUUAACUUGCUGCAGUUAAAAAAAGAAGAAAAAAAAAAUUACUUAUUAUUUUAUUCGGUUUCAACUUGCUAUUUCACCUCCUUGUUGCUGCAAUAAAAAAGGAUCUCCAGUAAAUUUGCUCCAAACCAACCCCAUCGGCCAUCUCUACACCUCAUCUGCGCCAAUCCACCAUUGUGUUUUUCUCUUACCAUCUUCAUGAGGAGCUGUUGAGAGUGAUGCCCAAUUGGCCAUGAAAUAUAUCCAACCAAUUUGCGCUCAAAUUUUCCAUGAAUGCAAAACAGACUCCUUUUGUUUGACACAUGCAUUUAUAUUUGUUUGGAUGGUAUCAUUGUGGAGAUGGUUGGAGAAAAUUUCAUGAAGUGAUUCUUCUAUUAGCUGAGGAAGAAAUUGGAAAAGAAUCAUUAUUUUUUUCUACCCAUUAUUUUAUAUGUAUAUAACUGUGUCGGUUUCUUUUCAAUUUUUUGGUUUGAAUGGAAUUUUAUUAAAUUUGAAAAACCAGUUUAUUUUUCCUCGAAAAAAGAAAUAGUUUAUUUUCUAAUAUAAAAGUGUUAUUCUACCACCUGACCAAAAAAAGUGUUAUUCUACCAAAAAAUAUUUAAUUAAAAGCGUUAAUUAUACCCAAAAAUACAAAAAAAAAAUUGCUUUUAAUUAGUAAAUAUGUUGUGGCUCAUACUCGAAGGUUACUUUAUAAGCCCCCCUCAUAUCUCUCUAGGCCCCCUAAAGUUACAAAAAUAUCCUCAAAUAACACAUUCUGUACAUACCUACGGAAGGUGAAUGUUUUUAAUUUUAUUUUUGCAGCUUCUGUACAUACCUACCGGACAGAGAAUUGAGGCAAAUAUUUAGGAAACUAAUAUGAAAAAAAGCCUGAAACUGAGUCCAUAAAUUCUCCAUUGAUGAAAAGCUUUUAAAACUUUAUAGUUGGAAUCUUUACAAAGGAGUCUAAGAUGAUGUGAUUUGCCAUCUCUAUUUCUCUGUCUACCUUUCAACAGGGACUACAAAGAGAAAAUUUUCAAUUGAGAAAAACUAUGAACUUCCUGAUGAACAAAUGGACAAGUUAUCACAAUUGGGGCUGAGAGGUUUCGUUGCCCAGAAGUCCUUUUCCAUCCAUCUAUGAUUUCAAAAUAUCUAUUUGGAAUGUAACUACAGAAAGUGUAAAUCUGAAAAUGUGAAAAUAUGCCUCCGGUAUGUACAUACCGAAGGUGCAAAAUGUGGAGAGAAAAAAUAUGCACUACCGGUUUGUAUCUACUGAAUGUGUUGUGAAGGUUAUUUUUGUAUUUUUAGGAGGCCUAAAAAGAUAUUGGAGGGGCCUAAAAAGUAACCUUCCAUUCUUAGAAGAAAAAAAAAUGGAAGCCAACAUCCAAACACAUAAAAGCCCACAAUCAAUUAUAAACAUAAACAAUUUGUUGUGGGGUAAAAAUUUUUGUAGUAGGUUUAAUUGGCAAAAAGUUAGAAGAAGGUUGCCAUCAACAAAUCUGAACCAUUCACUUAAAAUAUUAAUAUAUCAAUGGUUAAAACAUCAACUUUUUUAUGAUGGGAAAAAACUUCACUUUCCCAUUUUAAACCCCACCAGCCAAUAGAGAGAAACUACAUCAAAAGCUACACCACCUCAACAAGAACAAAAAGAUAAAUGGAGAAAAUUGAACCCGAAAUUUAUCAAGGACAGUCUCAAUUUGUGUGUUUUGAUACUUUUGUGUCUCAAAAUAAUUGAAUCAUUUGUAAAAUAAAAAAAAUUGUCUCACAAUAAUUUACUCGUUUCGCUUUUCAAUACAAUAUUAAUUACUUUUUUUUUAUUUAUAACUCUAAUUAAUACUACUUUCAUCAUUCCAAAUUUAAUAUCAAUAUAUUGAAUUUGGAGUAACGUAGAAUGUACAAAUAUUUGACAACACACUUAAAACCAUUUUUCACUCUUUCACUUAUAUAUUUUUUCUUAAUAUAUGUGAAAUGAACAAACGACUCACUUAUAUUAUAAAUCAGAGAAGUAUUUAGUUCAAGACUUUGUAUUGCUAAACUUUGACAUGUCUUGUGUUUAGUUUAGCCCCUUUAUUGAACAGGAAAAAAUACCGCAACUUCAGUAUCCCGGGCUAAAUGCCACCCCCCAUUCCCCAUAAGUUGCCAAAAGAAUAAAUAAACUCUGCUUUUGAUACAUAGACAUCCCUCGUUCCAACCAUCUAUGCAUAAAGACUCAAUAUAACGGCAAUUCAUCGAAGUACAUAAACCAAUUGUUUAAGGUGUACUAUUAGAGAAUCAAACCGAGGAACUAGUGGCGGAGCCAGGAAAUUUAUGGAGCUUGGGCAAAAAAUUAAUCGUAAAUUCACAUGUGACAUAAUAUAUAAACAGUCAUAAAUUGAAAGAAAAAUUUUUUUUUUCCUAAAAAAAAUUGAAAUAAAAGAUGUUUAUCAUUUUGUAAACAAAAGUACAAUUUAAAAUAUGAUUAUUAAUUGAAAUUGACCACGUAAUAUACAUGAAGUCUGAAAAUUGACCCUGCUGUAAUUAAAUAACAUGUAUUCUGACCAUGUAAUUCGAGAUUUUUAUUAUUUAUAACAUGUAAUAUACGCGAAGUCCAAAAAAGCAACCGAGAGAUUUAAUUUUUUCAUGAUUUCCUAGAGGCGAGUUAAGAACGUUAAAAUAUGGCUUUAACAAAAAAAAUAUAAAUUUUCGACAAACGACAAAUUAAUUAUGAUUUUUUAAAGUGUCAAAAGCUCAAAAAACAAAACAACGGAAAUCUCAAUCAAUAAAUCGAAUUUUGAGCUCAUUAUUUGCAGAGAGAUCUAUAAAAAUACAUAAAAAGGAUCUGUAAAGUUUCAUAGCAUUUCGAAGUCGUUUAAAUUUAUUUUGAUUUUUCAACUGAAACAUGUAAAAUUGAAAUUUUGUUUCGCGUAAGCGUAUACUCACAAGUCAAAUUUAGUUCCCUAAUUUUGUAGGCAUGACUAGAACAUGAUAAGAACCUUCACAAUGAAAUUUUGUAAUUUUUAAACUAGAUACAAAUUAAUUAUAAAUUGUUUAAGAAAUUCAUAAUUAUGAUGGAAUAAAAAUUCAUAAUUAAUUUAUCCCUGGUCGAAGAAAUUUAAUUUUGAGUAAAGCUAUAUUUUAACGUGCUAAAUAUGUAUGAAAAAAAUAGUGAAAAAAUUCAACAUGUAGGGCACAUUUUUAGACUACACGUAUAUUAUAGAGUGGUCAAAAUUAAAUAAGAAGAAAUUCAAGUUGCAAUGCUAGAAUAUAUAUUUUUUAUUUUAUUGGGUCAUUUUUCAAACAUAAAGUAUAUUACAAGGUCAAUUUGAACAAUUAACCCGUUAAAAUAAGAGAGAUGAACCCGUCAAUAGCGUACUAAAUAAAAUUUCAAGACUUAUUUGCGUGUGACAAUUUUCAGAUUGCCCAAAUUUUUCUUUUUGUAAAUGUGUUAACGGGCUUUUGGGUUGAGUCUAAUGUGCAAAAAUUAUCGAUCGAGCCCGGGCGAUCGUCUGGGGUCGCCAUACGGUAGAACCGCCCCUGCUAGGAACGAGGGGCGGAUCCACUUAGGUGUUAUGUGGAGCUAAAGCUCCACAUGUUUUUUCCUUUUUUUUUUGUUAUAAUUGAUAAAACGAAAAAGAAGUGACUUAGUAAAUAAUUCUCUCAUUUUCCCUUCUCUCUUAGUCUCGUAAAGUCAUUUCUAGUUUUUACGUGACAAAUUAUUGAGGAUGUCUGAGUUUUAUCCAAAUGAUUUUAUAGAUAUGUCGGAAGUGACGUUACGCACUCAACUUGUGAAUUAUGUUACAAAUGUUUAAAAUUUGCUAAGUUCAAAGGGCUUUUAGAUCUUUAUGCAAAACUUGUGGAAACAAAUAAGUGCAAACAAGAUGUAUGUUAGCACACUACUGUAUAUUAGACUAUUUGAUCUGCGAGUUUUUGUGUUUCUUACACAAUCUCGACGAGAAUAAUAUUUAUCGAUUAACAAAAAAUACAUUUAACUAAUUUGCAUUAUUAUACAAGGGUGAUUAAAUGGAGUAAGCCGAAUAGAGGUCGAAUGAAAUGUAAUAUUGAUGCAUCGUUUCCUAAUAAUGAGAACCGAAUUUGAAUAGGCAUUUGCAUUUGGGAUGAUGAAGGUGCAUUUGUGAUUGCAAUAACAUAAUGUUUAACUUCAAAGUGUGAUGUGCACAUUGAUGAAGCAUUGGGUUUGUUGACAACUCUUCAAUGGGUGCAUGAGUUACAUACAGUUAGGGCCUAUAGAGUUCGAACUUGAUUCCAAAAAAAGUGGUUGAUAGCUUUGGAGCUAAUAGGCAUGAUUCGACGGAAUUUGGAGCUAUUAUUAAUUAUUGUAAAAUAUUGUUUAAUCAUUUAUAUGAAAACUCGAGUGUAGAGUUUGUUCGGAGACAAGCAAAUGGGGUUGUCCAUGAAUUAGCAAAGGCGGCCACAUUAUCGAUUAGUUUCCAUAUUUUGGUUAUGCCACCACAUUGUAUUGAACACAUUUUAAUUAAUGAUAUUCUAUAAGUUUUCCCCUCUAAAAAAAAAACUAAUUUGCAUUAUUAUUUAUAUGAAAUUUUAACUACAUAUAUACCGAAAGUAUAGAUUUGCCCAUGGUAGAAACCCGUCAAAAUUUGUUAUUUCCACCAAUUAGUGAAUACUAUCCAUUUUACAAAGCCAUCAUUCGGUUAAGAAACUGUCAAAUUGUUAUCCUGCAUUCACUUAUAAUAGCAUGUGUCUUUCACUGUUAGACAAACAAACAAAUAUUAACAGCUUAAACUUUUUGAGAAUUUGUACAUAUUUUAAAAAAAUAUCAUAUGAAUAUGUAUUUAAUCUCACUUUUUGUACUUUACUACUAAAGAAGGUUUCAGAUUUCGCCACCAGAAUACUUUCCAUGUACUUCUCUUAUUUUAUCAUCACAUCUCUCACUUUCUUCUUUCAAGGUAGUUUUAUGAUCUAUUAAAAAGUUCACGGGGAAAUAAACAUCUAAGUAGGUUUUAGGCUAUGCCAAACUCUUUAAAAAGUUACGUUAGAUCCUUAAAAAAAGUUAUGUUAGAUCCUUAAAAGAUCAGAUUGAGAGACAAGGAAAGGGGCAUGUAAUUUCUUGGAUUGCUACAUGAAUAUCUACAAGUACAGACAAUUCAAUUUAGGAUUAAUGGUGUUUUUGGAUUAUUAUUGAAGAAGAAGAAGGUGAGGGGGGUACAUUACAACAA
Molecule: long non-coding RNA, 20928 nt
Filed under: Medicago truncatula (barrel medic)
Lineage: Eukaryota; Viridiplantae; Streptophyta; Magnoliopsida; Fabales; Fabaceae
Description: long non-coding RNA (MTRU_LNC007681)
Source: RNAcentral